RNAcentral lists this long non-coding RNA (1007 nucleotides) under Olea europaea (common olive). RNAcentral describes it as "long non-coding RNA (OEUR_LNC013521)". Lineage: Eukaryota; Viridiplantae; Streptophyta; Magnoliopsida; Lamiales; Oleaceae. The record is from RNAcentral.
AAUGACCCUUUUAGCAAGCUUUAGGCCGAUGACUCCCAAGUCAGAUGACUUUAGGGCACCAGGUUUUAAGAUACCCUUGCAGACUUAAUUACUCGAGUCAUAAAGGAUUUAGAGAGAAGUUUUAACAUUUUUAAAUGUAUACCUUGAUUAGUGCAAUGUCCCUUAUCAUACACUUAUUCAAGAAAACUGACCUCCAACUCAAAACUUUCACCCAAUUUUAUCCCGUUAGUCUAAGACAAUCCACACAUAAAUUUUCACACAUGGAAUCCAUAUUCACAUCAGCAUCUUCAUACAACUGUAAAGUCACCCCCAAACUAUACUAAAUUUGGUCUGAGGAUAAAUAAUUCAAUAUGGUUUAGGUAAAGCAUCUAAGUCCAUCUAAAUCAACCUAUCAAACAUGAAACAACUUAUUUCAUCACAAUGUCAAACUCAAUUCUAGUGCGCUUGUAAUAUCAAUUUUUGCAAGGUUGAGCUUCAAUUAAUCUAGCAUACAUCUCAUCCACAAUUCAUAAAUCAAUAUCAAAUCUCCAAUUAGAUUAGCAUAGUCAACCAAACUAUCUAACCCACACAAGCACACAACUAAAUAAAUUUUUUUUUUAUUUUGAAAAUUUUCGAUUAUUUGUCAUUUUUUUCUCUUUUUCCUUUUUUUUUUUAAAACAAACACACAAACACAUGUAAACAUAUGAAAAAUAAAAACGAAAAGUUUUUUUUUUUCACCCCCAAACUUAAAACUGACAUUGUCCUCAAUGUCAUAAAGCAUAAAUAAGCACAUAAAGGGGAUAGGGAAGAAAAGGAAGAAGUUACUCCCCAAAUUUUUCUGUUGAAUGUAUGAGGCACUAUGUGUGACGGUUGGAUAAUCUUCUUCAUCAUGCUCUCCCUUGAUCUAUGUUGGUUUGAGUGUUCCACGACGUCAUGUCCCUACACAUAGCAGUAAAUCAAAUAUUAAAAAUUAAAUAAUCUAGAACACGUGUUACUUAGUUCAAACAAUCAAACAACCAACAAUAAAG